GGUUAAGCGACUAAGCGUACACGGUGGAUGCCCUGGCAGUCAGAGGCGAUGAAGGACGUGCUAAUCUGCGAUAAGCGUCGGUAAGGUGAUAUGAACCGUUAUAACCGGCGAUUUCCGAAUGGGGAAACCCAGUGUGAUUCGUCACACUAUCAUUAACUGAAUCCAUAGGUUAAUGAGGCGAACCGGGGGAACUGAAACAUCUAAGUACCCCGAGGAAAAGAAAUCAACCGAGAUUCCCCCAGUAGCGGCGAGCGAACGGGGAGCAGCCCAGAGCCUGAAUCAGUGUGUGUGUUAGUGGAAGCGUCUGGAAAGGCGCACGAUACAGGGUGACAGUCCCGUACACAAAAAUGCACAUACUGUGAGCUCGAUGAGUAGGGCGGGACACGUGGUAUCCUGUCUGAAUAUGGGGGGACCAUCCUCCAAGGCUAAAUACUCCUGACUGACCGAUAGUGAACCAGUACCGUGAGGGAAAGGCGAAAAGAACCCCGGCGAGGGGAGUGAAAAAGAACCUGAAACCGUGUACGUACAAGCAGUGGGAGCACAGAGCAAUCUGUGUGACUGCGUACCUUUUGUAUAAUGGGUCAGCGACUUAUAUUCUGUAGCAAGGUUAACCGAAUAGGGGAGCCGAAGGGAAACCGAGUCUUAACUGGGCGUUAAGUUGCAGGGUAUAGACCCGAAACCCGGUGAUCUAGCCAUGGGCAGGUUGAAGGUUGGGUAACACUAACUGGAGGACCGAACCGACUAAUGUUGAAAAAUUAGCGGAUGACUUGUGGCUGGGGGUGAAAGGCCAAUCAAACCGGGAGAUAGCUGGUUCUCCCCGAAAGCUAUUUAGGUAGCGCCUCGUGAAUUCAUCUCCGGGGGUAGAGCACUGUUUCGGCAAGGGGGUCAUCCCGACUUACCAACCCGAUGCAAACUGCGAAUACCGGAGAAUGUUAUCACGGGAGACACACGGCGGGUGCUAACGUCCGUCGUGAAGAGGGAAACAACCCAGACCGCCAGCUAAGGUCCCAAAGUCAUGGUUAAGUGGGAAACGAUGUGGGAAGGCCCAGACAGCCAGGAUGUUGGCUUAGAAGCAGCCAUCAUUUAAAGAAAGCGUAAUAGCUCACUGGUCGAGUCGGCCUGCGCGGAAGAUGUAACGGGGCUAAACCAUGCACCGAAGCUGCGGCAGCGACGCUUAUGCGUUGUUGGGUAGGGGAGCGUUCUGUAAGCCUGCGAAGGUGUGCUGUGAGGCAUGCUGGAGGUAUCAGAAGUGCGAAUGCUGACAUAAGUAACGAUAAAGCGGGUGAAAAGCCCGCUCGCCGGAAGACCAAGGGUUCCUGUCCAACGUUAAUCGGGGCAGGGUGAGUCGACCCCUAAGGCGAGGCCGAAAGGCGUAGUCGAUGGGAAACAGGUUAAUAUUCCUGUACUUGGUGUUACUGCGAAGGGGGGACGGAGAAGGCUAUGUUGGCCGGGCGACGGUUGUCCCGGUUUAAGCGUGUAGGCUGGUUUUCCAGGCAAAUCCGGAAAAUCAAGGCUGAGGCGUGAUGACGAGGCACUACGGUGCUGAAGCAACAAAUGCCCUGCUUCCAGGAAAAGCCUCUAAGCAUCAGGUAACAUCAAAUCGUACCCCAAACCGACACAGGUGGUCAGGUAGAGAAUACCAAGGCGCUUGAGAGAACUCGGGUGAAGGAACUAGGCAAAAUGGUGCCGUAACUUCGGGAGAAGGCACGCUGAUAUGUAGGUGAAGUCCCUCGCGGAUGGAGCUGAAAUCAGUCGAAGAUACCAGCUGGCUGCAACUGUUUAUUAAAAACACAGCACUGUGCAAACACGAAAGUGGACGUAUACGGUGUGACGCCUGCCCGGUGCCGGAAGGUUAAUUGAUGGGGUCAGCGCAAGCGAAGCUCUUGAUCGAAGCCCCGGUAAACGGCGGCCGUAACUAUAACGGUCCUAAGGUAGCGAAAUUCCUUGUCGGGUAAGUUCCGACCUGCACGAAUGGCGUAAUGAUGGCCAGGCUGUCUCCACCCGAGACUCAGUGAAAUUGAACUCGCUGUGAAGAUGCAGUGUACCCGCGGCAAGACGGAAAGACCCCGUGAACCUUUACUAUAGCUUGACACUGAACAUUGAGCCUUGAUGUGUAGGAUAGGUGGGAGGCUUUGAAGUGUGGACGCCAGUCUGCAUGGAGCCGACCUUGAAAUACCACCCUUUAAUGUUUGAUGUUCUAACGUUGACCCGUAAUCCGGGUUGCGGACAGUGUCUGGUGGGUAGUUUGACUGGGGCGGUCUCCUCCUAAAGAGUAACGGAGGAGCACGAAGGUUGGCUAAUCCUGGUCGGACAUCAGGAGGUUAGUGCAAUGGCAUAAGCCAGCUUGACUGCGAGCGUGACGGCGCGAGCAGGUGCGAAAGCAGGUCAUAGUGAUCCGGUGGUUCUGAAUGGAAGGGCCAUCGCUCAACGGAUAAAAGGUACUCCGGGGAUAACAGGCUGAUACCGCCCAAGAGUUCAUAUCGACGGCGGUGUUUGGCACCUCGAUGUCGGCUCAUCACAUCCUGGGGCUGAAGUAGGUCCCAAGGGUAUGGCUGUUCGCCAUUUAAAGUGGUACGCGAGCUGGGUUUAGAACGUCGUGAGACAGUUCGGUCCCUAUCUGCCGUGGGCGCUGGAGAAUUGAGGGGGGCUGCUCCUAGUACGAGAGGACCGGAGUGGACGCAUCACUGGUGUUCGGGUUGUCAUGCCAAUGGCACUGCCCGGUAGCUAAAUGCGGAAGAGAUAAGUGCUGAAAGCAUCUAAGCACGAAACUUGCCCCGAGAUGAGUUCUCCCUGACUCCUUGAGAGUCCUGAAGGAACGUUGAAGACGACGACGUUGAUAGGCCGGGUGUGUAAGCGCAGCGAUGCGUUGAGCUAACCGGUACUAAUGAACCGUGAGGCUUAACCUU
Molecule: ribosomal RNA, 2906 nt
Filed under: Escherichia coli
Lineage: Bacteria; Pseudomonadati; Pseudomonadota; Gammaproteobacteria; Enterobacterales; Enterobacteriaceae
Description: 23S ribosomal RNA
Rfam family: Bacterial large subunit ribosomal RNA
Source: RNAcentral